UUAAUUACUAUAAGAAAACAAACUUACGAAAGACAAUAUAUACUCUUGUAGAUUCGUCCAACUUCUCUACUAAAUUCCCUCAACCACUUAUCACUGGAGUAAUUGAAACAAAUGUCUUCCUAAGCUCACACCAAUCGGGUGAUCAUCACAAAAGAGAAAACAAUACACAAAUAGACAGACACAGAAAAGCAAGGGUGAACUAGAUAUACAAAAAUC
This 216-nucleotide long non-coding RNA is filed under the name Vigna radiata. Its description in RNAcentral is "long non-coding RNA (VRAD_LNC009113)". The record is from RNAcentral. Lineage: Eukaryota; Viridiplantae; Streptophyta; Magnoliopsida; Fabales; Fabaceae.